Molecule: ribosomal RNA, 737 nt
Filed under: Streptococcus pneumoniae
Lineage: Bacteria; Bacillati; Bacillota; Bacilli; Lactobacillales; Streptococcaceae
Description: bacterial SSU rRNA
Rfam family: Bacterial small subunit ribosomal RNA
Source: RNAcentral
UUUAAUGAGAGUUUGAUCCUGGCUCAGGACGAACGCUGGCGGCGUGCCUAAUACAUGCAAGUAGAACGCUGAAGGAGGAGCUUGCUUCUCUGGAUGAGUUGCGAACGGGUGAGUAACGCGUAGGUAACCUGCCUGGUAGCGGGGGAUAACUAUUGGAAACGAUAGCUAAUACCGCAUAAGAGUGGAUGUUGCAUGACAUUUGCUUAAAAGGUGCACUUGCAUCACUACCAGAUGGACCUGCGUUGUAUUAGCUAGUUGGUGGGGUAAGGGCUCACCAAGGCGACGAUACAUAGCCGACCUGAGAGGGUGAUCGGCCACACUGGGACUGAGACACGGCCCAGACUCCUACGGGAGGCAGCAGUAGGGAAUCUUCGGCAAUGGACGGAAGUCUGACCGAGCAACGCCGCGUGAGUGAAGAAGGUUUUCGGAUCGUAAAGCUCUGUUGUAAGAGAAGAACGAGUGUGAGAGUGGAAAGUUCACACUGUGACGGUAUCUUACCAGAAAGGGACGGCUAACUACGUGCCAGCAGCCGCGGUAAUACGUAGGUCCCGAGCGUUGUCCGGAUUUAUUGGGCGUAAAGCGAGCGCAGGCGGUUAGAUAAGUCUGAAGUUAAAGGCUGUGGCUUAACCAUAGUAGGCUUUGGAAACUGUUUAACUUGAGUGCAAGAGGGGAGAGUGGAAUUCCAUGUGUAGCGGUGAAAUGCGUAGAUAUAUGGAGGAACACCGGUGGCGAAAGCG